This 253-nucleotide ribosomal RNA is filed under the name uncultured bacterium. Its description in RNAcentral is "partial 16S ribosomal RNA". It matches the Rfam family "Bacterial small subunit ribosomal RNA", at positions 524 to 776 of the family's 1533-position model. The record is from RNAcentral.
UACGUAGGGUGCGAGCGUUGUCCGGAAUUAUUGGGCGUAAAGAGCUUGUAGGCGGUUUGUCGCGUCUGCUGUGAAAAUCCGGGGCUCAACCCCGGACUUGCAGUGGGUACGGGCAGACUAGAGUGUGGUAGGGGAGACUGGAAUUCCUGGUGUAGCGGUGGAAUGCGCAGAUAUCAGGAGGAACACCGAUGGCGAAGGCGGGUCUCUGGGCAGUAACUGACGCUGAGGAGCGAAAGCGUGGGGAGCGAACAGG